This 323-nucleotide unclassified non-coding RNA is filed under the name soil metagenome. Its description in RNAcentral is "partial contains 5.8S ribosomal RNA, internal transcribed spacer 2, and large subunit ribosomal RNA". The stretch from base 1 to 120 matches the Rfam family "5.8S ribosomal RNA", at positions 35 to 154 of the family's 154-position model. The record is from RNAcentral.
GAUGAAGAACGCAGCGAAAUGCGAUAAGUAGUGUGAAUUGCAGAAUUCAGUGAAUCAUCGAAUCUUUGAACGCACAUUGCGCCCCUUGGUAUUCCAUGGGGCAUGCCUGUUCGAGCGUCAUUUGUACCUUCAAGCUUUGCUUGGUGUUGGGUGUUUGUCCUGAGGGACUCGCCUUAAAGUAAUUGGCAGCCAGUGUUUGGUUUUGAAGCGCAGCACAAGUCGCGAUUCAAGGCUAUACACCAGCGUCCACAAGCCUUUUUCACUUUUGACCUCGGAUCAGGUAGGGAUACCCGCUGAACUUAAGCAUAUCAAUAAGCGGAGGA